This 104-nucleotide transfer RNA is filed under the name soil metagenome. It matches the Rfam family "tRNA". From Rfam's summary of the family: Transfer RNA (tRNA) molecules are approximately 80 nucleotides in length. Their secondary structure includes four short double-helical elements and three loops (D, anti-codon, and T loops). The record is from RNAcentral.
GCCUUCGUAGUAUAGCCUGGUUAGUAUAGGCGGCUGUGGAUUUCACUUAGUUUCUUAAAGAAUACGGAAACCGCUUGAGGAGGGUUCAAAUCCCUCCGAAGGCC